AUACCAAGUUAAAUUCAUCUUCCAU
Molecule: small RNA, 25 nt
Filed under: Arabidopsis thaliana (thale cress)
Lineage: Eukaryota; Viridiplantae; Streptophyta; Magnoliopsida; Brassicales; Brassicaceae
Description: ATSL156900
Source: RNAcentral